UACGUAGGGCGCAAGCGUUAUCCGGAAUUAUUGGGUUUAAAGGGUGCGUAGGCGGCCCGUUAAGUCAGCGGUGAAAGCCCGGGGCUCAACCCCGGAACCGCCGUUGAUACUGGCGGGCUUGAGUAUGGACGAGGUUGGCGGAAUUGAGGGUGUAGCGGUGAAAUGCUUAGAUACCCUCAAGAACACCGAUUGCGUAGGCAGCUAACUAGGCCAUAACUGACGCUGAGGCACGAAAGCGUGGGGAGCGAACAGG
RNAcentral lists this ribosomal RNA (253 nucleotides) under uncultured bacterium. RNAcentral's name for it is "partial 16S ribosomal RNA". It matches the Rfam family "Bacterial small subunit ribosomal RNA", at positions 524 to 776 of the family's 1533-position model. The record is from RNAcentral.